Long non-coding RNA from Eriocheir sinensis (Chinese mitten crab), 862 nucleotides. RefSeq lists it as uncharacterized. Lineage: Eukaryota; Metazoa; Arthropoda; Malacostraca; Decapoda; Varunidae. The transcript is spliced from 3 exons. The record is from RefSeq and is a predicted model, not a curated record.
CUAUCCUGUGUUUGAAGAUACCCUAAACUUAACAUAACUUAACAAAACCCCAGACAGUUACUAUAGGUCUUGACUCAGAAAAUUCAUACAUGGUUCCUUACUAAUGAGACUUUCCAUACAACAAAGUGAGGUCAUUCUUUGUUGAUUUAUACCAUAAGGUGCUAGCUAUCCUGUGUUUGAAGAUACCCUAAACUUAACAUAACUUAACCUAACAAAACCCCAAACAGUUACUAUAGGUCUUGACUCAGAAAAUUCAUACAUGGUUCCUUACUAAUGAGACUUUCCAUACAACAAAGUGAGGUCAUUCUUUGUUGAUUUAUACCAUAAGGUGCUAGCUAUCCUGUGUUUGAAGAUACCCUAAACUUAACAUAACAAAACCCCAAACAGUUACUAUAGGUCUUGACUCAGAAAAUUCAUACAUGGUUCCUUACUAAUGAGACUUUCCAUACAACAAAGUGAGGUCAUUCUCUGUUGAUUUAUACCAUGAUGUGCUGGCUAUCCUGUGUUUGAAGAUACCCUAAACUUAACCUAACCUAACCUAACAAAACCCCAAACAGUUACUCUUGGUCUUGACUCGGAAAAUUCAUAUAUGCUUCCCUACUUAUGAGACUUUCCAUACAACAAAGUGAGGUCAUUCUUUGUUGAUUUAUCCUAUAUGGGGCUGGCUAUCCUGUGUUUGAAGAUACCCUAAACUUAACAAAACAAAACCCCAAACAGUUACUAUAGGUCUUGACUCAGAAAAUUCAUACAUGGUUCCUUACUAAUGAGACUUUCCAUACAACAAAGUGAGGUCAUUCUCUGUUGAUUUAUACCAUGAGGUGCUGGCUAUCCUGUGUUUGAAGAUACCCUAAACUUAACCUAA